This 793-nucleotide ribosomal RNA is filed under the name uncultured bacterium. RNAcentral's name for it is "bacterial SSU rRNA". It matches the Rfam family "Bacterial small subunit ribosomal RNA", at positions 8 to 796 of the family's 1533-position model. The record is from RNAcentral.
AGAGUUUGAUCAUGGCUCAGGAUGAACGCUAGCGGCAGGCUUAAUACAUGCAAGUCGGGGGGCAGCGGGGGUAGCAAUACCUGCCGGCGACCGGCAAACGGGUGCGGAACACGUACAGAACCUUCCUUUAAGUGGGGGAUAGCCCGGAGAAAUCCGGAUUAAUACCCCAUAGCAUUAUGAGACGGCAUCGUUUUAUAAUUAAAGAUUAAUUGCUUAAAGAUGGCUGUGCGUCUGAUUAGGUAGUUGGUGCGGGUAACGGCCCACCAAGCCUUCGAUCAGUAACUGGUGUGAGAGCACGACCAGUCACACGGGCACUGAGACACGGGCCCGACUCCUACGGGAGGCAGCAGUAAGGAAUAUUGGUCAAUGGACGCAAGUCUGAACCAGCCAUGCCGCGUGAAGGAUGAAGGUCCUCUGGAUUGUAAACUUCUUUUAUAGGGGACGAAACCCGGGUAAUCUUAUCCGAUUGACGGUACCCUAGGAAUAAGCACCGGCUAACUCCGUGCCAGCAGCCGCGGUAAUACGGAGGGUGCAAGCGUUAUCCGGAUUCACUGGGUUUAAAGGGUGCGUAGGUGGGUCUGUAAGUCAGUGGUGAAAUCUCCGGGCUCAACCCGGAAACUGCCAUUGAUACUAUAGAUCUUGAAUUUUCCGGAGGUAAGCGGAAUAUGUCUGUAGCGGUGAAAUGCUUAGAUAUGACAUAGAACACCGAUUGCGAAGGCAGCUUACUACAGGAACAUUGACACUGAGGCACGAAAGCGUGGGGAUCAAACAGGAUUAGAUACCCUAGUAGUCC